UCUUAAAAACAUUUAACAAACCACAGCAAAGAUAUUGACAGAUGUUUGACCACUUGGAGACAACUGUUAUAUUCUCUCACCCCACAUUUAAUGUAGUGAGGAGCACAUGUGAAGAUAGGCUUAUUAAGUCUUACAUCUUUAAGAAAAUUUAACUAUUUUUGUUGAACUCUCCCAGUGAUGUGGUCUCCUCCUCCUCCUGCAGAGACAGAAGUCCUGAAAUUCAAAAAGGAUAAAAAAAUUUCAUAUUAUAGCUAGAUGUCAAAAAAUUGUCAAAAAAUGUCAUAGUAUAAUAAGGCGUCAAAAACUGUCAAAGAAUGUCAUAGUAUAGUAAGGCGUCAAAAAUGGUCGAAAAUUGUCAUAGUAUAGUAAGGCAUCAAAAAUGGUUAAAAAAUGUCAUAGUAUAAUAAGGUGUCAAAAACGGUCAAAAAAUGUCAUAGUAUAGUAAGGCGUCAAAGAAUGUCAUAGUAUAGUAAGGCGUCAAAAAUGGUCAAAAAAUGUCAUAGUAUAGUAAGGCGUCAAAAAUUGUCAAAGAAUGUCAUAGUAUAGUAAGGUGUGAAAAAUUGUCAAAAAAUGUCAUAGUAUAGUAAGGUGUCAAAACUGGUUAAAAAUUUUCAUAUUAUAGCUAGACAUCAAAAAUGGUCAAAAAAUGUCAUAGUAUAGUAUGGCGUCAAAAAUUGUCAUAGUAUAGUAAGGCGUCAAAAAUUGUCAAAGAAUGUCAUAGUAUAGUAAGGCAUCAAAAACGGUCAAAAAAUGGUCAAAAAAUGUCAUAGUAUAGUAAGGUGUCAAAAACGGUCAAAAAAUGUCAUAGUAUAGUAAGGCAUCAAAAAUGGUCAAAAAAUGUCAUAGUAUAGUAAGGGGUCAAAAAUGGUUAAAAAUUUUCAUAUUAUAGCUAGACAUCAAAAAUGGUCAAAAAAUGUCAUAGUAUAGUAAGGUGUCAAAAACGGUCAAAAAAUGUCAUAGUAUAGUAAGGCGUCAAAAAUUGUCAAAGAAUGUCAUAGUAUAGUAAGGCGUCAAAAAUGGUCAAAAAAUGUCAUAGUAUAGUAAGGUGUGAAAAAUUGUCAAAAAAUGUCAUAGUAUAGUAAGGUGUCAAAAAUGGUUAAAAAUUUUCAUAUUAUAGCUAGACAUCAAAAAUGGUCAAAAAAUGUCAUAGUAUAGUAAGGCGUCAAAAAUUGUCAAAGAAUGUCAUAGUAUAGUAAGGUGUCAAAAAUGGUCAAAAAAUGUCAUAGUAUAGUAAGGUGUCAAAAACGGUCAAAAAAUGUCAUAGUAUAGUAAGGCGUCAAAAAUUGUCAAAGAAUGUCAUAGUAUAGUAAGGCGUCAAAAAUGGUCAAAAAAUGUCAUAGUAUAGUAAGGUGUGAAAAAUUGUCAAAAAAUGUCAUAGUAUAGUAAGGUGUCAAAAAUGGUUAAAAAUUUUCAUAUUAUAGCUAGACAUCAAAAAUGGUCAAAAAAUGUCAUAGUAUAGUAUGGCGUCAAAAAUUGUCA
Long non-coding RNA from Lates calcarifer (barramundi perch), 1479 nucleotides. RefSeq lists it as uncharacterized. Lineage: Eukaryota; Metazoa; Chordata; Actinopteri; Centropomidae. The record is from RefSeq and is a predicted model, not a curated record. The transcript has 4 exons.